GGGAUAGCCGUUGGAAACGACGAAUAAUACCCUAUGAAACUAUCACUUCGCAUGAAGCGAUAGUCAAAGUGUUAGCGGUGUAAGAUGGACUUGCGUCUGAUUAGCUAGUUGGUGAGAAAAAAGCCCACCAAGGCAACGAUCAGUAGCCGGCUUGAGAGAGUGUACGGCCACAUUGGGACUGAGACACGGCCCAG
This 194-nucleotide ribosomal RNA is filed under the name uncultured Eubacteriales bacterium. Its description in RNAcentral is "uncultured Clostridiales bacterium partial 16S ribosomal RNA". It matches the Rfam family "Bacterial small subunit ribosomal RNA", at positions 140 to 334 of the family's 1533-position model. The record is from RNAcentral. Lineage: Bacteria; Bacillati; Bacillota; Clostridia; Eubacteriales.